Molecule: ribosomal RNA, 1099 nt
Filed under: Salmonella enterica subsp. enterica serovar Mississippi
Lineage: Bacteria; Pseudomonadati; Pseudomonadota; Gammaproteobacteria; Enterobacterales; Enterobacteriaceae
Description: partial 23S ribosomal RNA
Rfam family: Bacterial large subunit ribosomal RNA
Source: RNAcentral
UGGGCGUUAAGUUGCAGGGUAUAGACCCGAAACCCGGUGAUCUAGCCAUGGGCAGGUUGAAGGUUGGGUAACACUAACUGGAGGACCGAACCGACUAAUGUUGAAAAAUUAGCGGAUGACCUGUGGCUGGGGGUGAAAGGCCAAUCAAACCGGGAGAUAGCUGGUUCUCCCCGAAAGCUAUUUAGGUAGCGCCUCGUGAAUUCAUCUCCGGGGGUAGAGCACUGUUUCGGCUAGGGGGCCAUCCCGGCUUACCAACCCGAUGCAAACUGCGAAUACCGGAGAAUGUUAUCACGGGAGACACACGGCGGGUGCUAACGUCCGUCGUGAAGAGGGAAACAACCCAGACCGCCAGCUAAGGUCCCAAAGUCAUGGUUAAGUGGGAAACGAUGUGGGAAGGCCCAGACAGCCAGGAUGUUGGCUUAGAAGCAGCCAUCAUUUAAAGAAAGCGUAAUAGCUCACUGGUCGAGUCGGCCUGCGCGGAAGAUGUAACGGGGCUAAACCAUGCACCGAAGCUGCGGCAGCGACGCUUAUGCGUUGCUGGGUAGGGGAGCGUUCUGUAAGCCUGCGAAGGUGGCCUGUGAGGGUUGCUGGAGGUAUCAGAAGUGCGAAUGCUGACAUAAGUAACGAUAAAGCGGGUGAAAAGCCCGCUCGCCGGAAGACCAAGGGUUCCUGUCCAACGUUAAUCGGGGCAGGGUGAGUCGACCCCUAAGGCGAGGCCGAAAGGCGUAGUCGAUGGGAAACGGGUUAAUAUUCCCGUACUUGGUGUUACUGCGAAGGGGGGACGGAGAAGGCUAUGUUGGCCGGGCGACGGUUGUCCCGGUUUAAGCGUGUAGGUGUGUGUUCCAGGUAAAUCCGGUUCACUUUAACACUGAGGCGUGACGACGAGGCACUACGGUGCUGAAGCAACAAAUGCCCUGCUUCCAGGAAAAGCCUCUAAGCAUCAGGUAACAUCAAAUCGUACCCCAAACCGACACAGGUGGUCAGGUAGAGAAUACCAAGGCGCUUGAGAGAACUCGGGUGAAGGAACUAGGCAAAAUGGUGCCGUAACUUCGGGAGAAGGCACGCUGACACGUAGGUGAAGUGAUUUACUCAUGGAGCU